GUAGGGUAAAGGCCUACCAAGGCGACGAUCUAUAGCUGGUCUGAGAGGACGAUCAGCCACACUGGGACUGAGACACGGCCCAGACUCCUACGGGAGGCAGCAGUGGGGAAUAUUGGACAAUGGGCGCAAGCCUGAUCCAGCAAUACCGCGUGUGUGAAGAAGGCCCUAGGGUUGUAAAGCACUUUCAAUAGGGAGGAAAACCUGCCGGUCAAUACCCGGUAGCUUGACAUUACCUAUAGAAGAAGCACCGGCUAACUCCGUGCCAGCAGCCGCGGUAAUACGGAGGGUGCGAGCGUUAAUCGGAAUUACUGGGCGUAAAGCGUGCGUAGGCGGCUCGUUAAGUCAGAUGUGAAAGCCCCGGGCUCAACCUGGGAACUGCAUUUGAAACUGGCGAGCUCGAGUUGAGUAGAGGUAAGUGGAAUUUCAGGUGUAGCGGUGAAAUGCGUAGAUAUCUGAAGGAACACCAGUGGCGAAGGCGACUUACUGGACUCAAACUGACGCUGAGGUACGAAAGCGUGGGUAGCAAACAGGAUUAGAUACCCUGGUAGUCCACGCUGUAAACGAUGUCAACUAGCCGUUGGUCCUAUUUACAGGAUUAGUGGCGCAGCUAACGCAUUAAGUUGACCGCCUGGGGAGUACGGCCGCAAGGCUAAAACUCAAAUGAAUUGACGG
Molecule: ribosomal RNA, 672 nt
Filed under: uncultured Methylobacter sp.
Lineage: Bacteria; Pseudomonadati; Pseudomonadota; Gammaproteobacteria; Methylococcales; Methylococcaceae
Description: bacterial SSU rRNA
Rfam family: Bacterial small subunit ribosomal RNA
Source: RNAcentral